GGGGGGGGGGGGGGGGGGGGCGGGGGGGUGCGGGGCGGGGGGGGGGGCGGGGGGCGUGCGCGUCGGACGGUGGCGGCGGACGGGUGAGUAAGACGUGGAUAACCUACCGAUAAGACUGGGAGAACUUCGGGAACGCGGGGCUAAUCCCGGAUAAUAUAUUGAACCGCAGGGUUCAAUAGUGAAAGCCGGGUUUGCUGUCACUGAGAGAUGGAUCCGCGCCGCAUUAGCUAGUUGGUAAGGUAACGGCUUACCAAGGCAACGAUGCGUAGCCGACCUGAGAGGGUGAUCGGCCACACUGGAACUGAGACACGGUCCAGACUCCUACGGGAGGCAGCAGUAGGGAAUCUUCCGCAAAGGGCGAAAGCCUGACGGAGCAACGCCGCGUGAGUGAUGAAGGUCUUCGGAUCGUAAAACUCUGUUAUUAGGGAAGAACAAAUGUGUAAGUAACUAUGCACGUCUUGACGGUACCUAAUCAGAAAGCCACGGCUAACUACGUG
This 497-nucleotide ribosomal RNA is filed under the name uncultured bacterium. Its description in RNAcentral is "partial 16S ribosomal RNA". It matches the Rfam family "Bacterial small subunit ribosomal RNA", at positions 38 to 507 of the family's 1533-position model. The record is from RNAcentral.